CCUACGGGAGGCAGCAGUGGGGAAUAUUGGACAAUGGGCGAAAGCCUGAUCCAGCAACGCCGCGUGGAGGAUGAAAGCCUUCGGGUUGUAAACUCCUGUCAGGUGGGACGAAAAGAUGCCGACAAAUAACCGGUAUCCUUGACGGUACCACCGGAGGAAGCCCCGGCUAACUCCGUGCCAGCAGCCGCGGUAAUACGGAGGGGGCAAGCGUUAUUCGGAAUCAUUGGGCGUAAAGGGCGCGUAGGCGGCUUGGCAAGUCAGGGGUGAAAUCCCUCGGCUCAACCGAGGAACUGCCUCUGAAACUGUCUGGCUUGAGGCCGGGAGAGGGUAGUGGAAUUCCCAGUGUAGCGGUGAAAUGCGUAGAUAUUGGGAGGAACACCGGUGGCGAAGGCGGCUACCUGGACCGGUUCUGACGCUGAGGCGCGAAAGUGUGGGGAGCAAACAGGAUUAGAUACCCUGGUAGUCCACACUGUAAACGAUGAGCACUCGGUGCCGCGGGUGUCGACCCCUGCGGUGCCUUAGGAAACCCGUUAAGUGCUCCGCCUGGGGAGUACGGUCGCAAGGCUGAAACUCAAAUGAAUUGACGG
Molecule: ribosomal RNA, 587 nt
Filed under: uncultured delta proteobacterium
Lineage: Bacteria; Deltaproteobacteria
Description: bacterial SSU rRNA
Rfam family: Bacterial small subunit ribosomal RNA
Source: RNAcentral